GAGUUUGAUCAUGGCUCAGAAUCAACGCUGGCGGCGCGCUUAACACAUGCAAGUCGGACGAGAAAGUGGAGCAAUCCAUGAGUACAGUGGCGUACGGGUGAGUAACACGUGGGUAAUCUGCCUUUUAGUGGGGAAUAACCCUGGGAAACCGGGGCUAAUACCGCAUAAUCUCGAGAGAGGAAAGUCGCAAGACGCUGAAAGAGGAGCCCGCGGCCGAUUAGCUAGUUGGUGGGGUAAAGGCCCACCAAGGCAGAGAUCGGUAGCCGGCCUGAGAGGGCACACGGCCACACUGGCACUGAAACACGGGCCAGACUCCUACGGGAGGCAGCAGUGGGGAAUCUUGCACAAUGGGGGAAACCCUGAUGCAGCGACGCCGCGUGAGCGAUGAAGCCCUUCGGGGUGUAAAGCUCUUUCGGCAGGGAAGAUGAUGACGGUACCUGCAGAAGCAGCUGCGGCUAACUACGUGCCAGCAGCCGCGGUAAUACGUAGGCAGCGAGCGUUGUUCGGAGUUACUGGGCGUAAAGGGUGUGUAGGCGGUUCUUUAAGUUUGGUGUGAAAUCUCCCGGCUUAACCGGGAGGGUGCGCCGAAUACUGAGGGACUCGAGUGCGGGAGAGGAAAGUGGAAUUCCUGGUGUAGCGGUGAAAUGCGUAGAUAUCAGGAGGAACACCGGUGGUGUAGACGGCUUUCUGGACCGUAACUGACGCUGAGACACGAAAGCGUGGGUAGCAAACAGGAUUAGAUACCCUGGUAGUCCACGCCCUAAACGAUGCAUAUUUGGUGUGGGUCAUUCAGUUGAUCCGUGCCGGAGCUAACGCGUUAAAUAUGCCGCCUGGGGAGUACAGUCGCAAGGCUGAAACUCAAAGGAAUUGACGGGGGCCCGCACAAGCGGUGGAGCAUGUGGUUUCAAUUCGACGCAACGCGAAGAACCUUACCUGGGCUCGAACGGGUAGUCAACGGCGGUGGAAACAUCGCUACCCCGCAAG
RNAcentral lists this ribosomal RNA (984 nucleotides) under uncultured bacterium. RNAcentral's name for it is "bacterial SSU rRNA". It matches the Rfam family "Bacterial small subunit ribosomal RNA", at positions 9 to 1023 of the family's 1533-position model. The record is from RNAcentral.